AUAUAAUAAGCACUUAUUCAAAUUGUUUGAUCCAAGUUUUUGAUUCAAAGGGCAGGAAACCAUCUGAUUCAAAUUGUUUGAUCAAGUUUUUGAUUCGGUUUUUAUUGCAUUGGGAGAUUAUUCGGUUGCUUUUAUUGUAUCAUUAAUUUGUCCUUUUAGUCCGUUUGACAGCUUUGAAGAUUUCAGUUUUGAAAUUUUUUCUCUUUUACUGGUUCUGCUACUUUUGAUAUACUUUGGUUUCUGAUUGGGUUUUUUUUUUUUUUUUUUUUGUUUGUCCUUAUGGUUCAUCGUCAAUUGAUAUAGAUCUUUACAGUUUAGAAACGACGUACGAUGUACUUGAUACUUGCUUGAAACGAAUAAUGUUCUGAAAACUGGGAAAGAAAAAUAAUAGUAGCGAUUCAUCAAAAUUUAAGAUAGAGAGGGUGAAGUCAUGAUCUAAUCAGUCAAUUGCACCAUUAUAUUUGAGCAUGUUGUAGGACCCUUUUCAUAGUGCUGGGUGUUCAAACUGCCAUCCACUUUGAUUCUGGUUUCAUGGUUGAACCAGAUCUAAAUGGCCGCCAGGUGUUCUGGUUAUUAGGGGCUAGCGAAAUCAGAUCUCAAAAUCAUUUCUUCCAGACUAUCAAGAAGAGUGUCGAAAGUUGAGGCUUUGAGGCGAUACUGUCGUAUUUGUCAUUAAAAAUUUUUCAGAAGAAAGAAAAACGAUAGAAGCUCUUGCGUUGUUGGGAUCGGGGGAAGAGAAUAAGAGGUUUUUCCUCGGAGUCUUUAUAAAAGGUCAAGCACUGAGAUACAAAAGAGAAGUGGGCAACCGAGUCUGCGUUCCUUUUGGAAAAGGUACACAGCAAUAUUUUGAUUUCUGAGAUUGAUUGGAACAAGUUAAGUAUCGUUAUCUUGAUACCUUUGUUCUUUCCUUUUGUUAAUUAAAGAUCAUCUAAUUGAAUUCUUUGUAUAUGAAACUUGAUUUCAUUUUGUAGUGUCUAUUUUUGUAGCUUUUGAAUAACUACAGGACCCAAACCUUUUUUGCAAAACUCAAAAUUCAGAAGGUUUACAAGAGUUAUCAAACCUGAAGAAACCUUGCAGAUUGUGCUGUGGAGGCUGAGGAGUGGUUUAGGUGGAAAUACAGAUUAGAUUCUCCACCUUAGACUGAAGAGCUAUGGUGGAAAUCUUUCGAUUCUGCAGCUCUCAAGUACAGUUUAUCUCAUUCUCUGAUGUUGAGUACCUGGAAUCUGCCAUUUUCCGGUGGGCAAAGGGUUAGGACUAGGCUGCAAAGAUUCGAAAAGGUUUGUUUGAGGAUGAGAAAGCACACAAAGUUAAUUCUUCAACAUUGGCUUGAAGCUAUUGAUCCACACCAUCAGUAUGGACACAAUUUACACAUGAACUACGAUUUAUGAUUUAAAAGUGAGAGCAGCCAGCCUUUCUUCUACUGACGGAUACUCAUCUGAAUUGUGGGAAGGCACUACUGGAAAUGCUAUUAUGUAUUUAUGUCCCCCUGCCAUCAUAUGUUGCAAAAGACUUGGGACUAUGUUCAAAAGCCGUGAUGGGUCCUGCUGGAAUCUGUUUGCUGUGUUUUUGAACAUUUGGUGGAACUAUGGGCUUAUUUGGGAAGAGAAAUGAUUGAAGAAUGUCACUGUGUUAUGUUUGUGUACUGGUAGCUUCUUCUUCUUUUUGAGGCAAGCGACAUUUUACAUUGGAGGAUCAGUGAGCAGCUUUCUUGCCUCCUCUAAGCUGAAAUACAUGCAUUCAUUUUAGGCCAAUUCUUGAAAGUAUCCCUUGCAGUAUCUUAGAAGCUUUCUUUUGCACCACUGACUCUUUGUAAACAUGAAACUUGUGACAACCAGUUCUAGCCAACCUCAGCAGCGCACAACCAAGGACAGCUUCGAGGAGCUAAUGUAAAAACUGUUGAAUCAGAAUAGAAAUGUUAUACAUUUUUGUUCAGACGUUGGUUAGAAUAGCAAUUUUUUGAGAAAUGUAAAUAGACAAGGAUGGUUACUGCACUGAUUCUACUUAGAAUUUCGAGUUUUGAAAUAUGUAAAUAUACACAACUGACUCAUGAAAUAAAACCAAAUCCGCAGCAUCGCACGGGAGAGGUUGCUAGUGUUA
Long non-coding RNA from Rosa rugosa (rugosa rose), 2097 nucleotides. RefSeq lists it as uncharacterized. The record is from RefSeq and is a predicted model, not a curated record. The transcript is spliced from 10 exons. NCBI's taxonomy places the organism in Eukaryota, Viridiplantae, Streptophyta, Magnoliopsida, Rosales, Rosaceae.